Molecule: small nuclear RNA, 186 nt
Organism: Hippoglossus stenolepis (Pacific halibut)
Lineage: Eukaryota; Metazoa; Chordata; Actinopteri; Pleuronectiformes; Pleuronectidae
Product: U2 spliceosomal RNA
Exons: 1
Source: RefSeq, a predicted model, not a curated record
UAUCCUUCCUUGCUGGCUAAGAUCAAGUGUUGUUAUCUGUUCUUCUCAGUUUAAUGUCUGAUAUGCUCCUCUAUAUGGGGACUACAUAUUAAGCAGUUUUUGUCAUGAGGCAGUAAUUUGGGGCUUGCUCCUUUUUCUCUCACCAUCGACACCUAGCAUUGCAGUACCCUGGGAACGGUACGCACU